RNAcentral lists this ribosomal RNA (500 nucleotides) under uncultured bacterium. RNAcentral describes it as "partial 16S ribosomal RNA". It matches the Rfam family "Bacterial small subunit ribosomal RNA", at positions 28 to 507 of the family's 1533-position model. The record is from RNAcentral.
GACGAACGCUGGCGGCAUGCCUAAUACAUGCAAGUCGAGCGAACAUUUGUGGAGGCUUGCUUUUAUAAAUGUGAGCGGCUGGGGGGUGAGUAACGCGUUUGCAAUCUACACUGCAGUUGGAGAUAACUCCGAGAAACCAGGUCUAAUACCAUAUAAUCAUUGUAUGCGCAUGGCCAUACUCUAAGAGGCUGCUGCGGCUCUCACUGCAUGAUUAGCCCGCGGCUCAUUUGCUAGUUGAUGUAAUAGCGUACUACCAAGGCAACGAUGCGUAGCCGACAUGAGAGGGUGAUCGGCCACACUGGAACUGAGACACGGCCCAGACUCCUACGGGAGGCAGCAGUAGGGAAUCUUCCACAAUGGACGGAAGUUUGAUGGAGCAAUGCCGCGUGAGUGAAGAAGGUUUUCGGAUCGUAAAGCUCUGUUGUUAGGGAAGAACAAGUAUGGGAGUAACUGAGCGCAUCUUGACGGUACCUAAUCAGAAAGCCACGGCUAACUACGUG